CCUACGGGUGGCAGCAGUGAGGAAUAUUGGUCAAUGGACGAGAGUCUGAACCAGCCAAGUAGCGUGAAGGAUGACUGCCCUAUGGGUUGUAAACUUCUUUUAUAUGGGAAUAAAAUGUUCCACGUGUGGGAUUUUGUAUGUACCAUAUGAAUAAGGAUCGGCUAACUCCGUGCCAGCAGCCGCGGUAAUACGGAGGAUACGAGCGUUAUCCGGAUUUAUUGGGUUUAAAGGGAUCGUAGGUGGAUUGUUAAGUCCGUUGGGAAAGUGUGCGGCCCAACCGUAAAAUUGCAGUUGAAACUGGCAGUCUUGAGUACAGUAGAGGUGUGCGGAAUGCGUGGUGUAGCGGUGAAAUGCUUAGAUAUCACGAAGAACUCCGAUUGCGAAGGCAGUUCACUGGACUGCAACUGACACUGAGGCUCGAAAGUGUGGGUAUCAAACAGGAUUAGAUACCCGGGUAGUC
RNAcentral lists this ribosomal RNA (460 nucleotides) under uncultured bacterium. RNAcentral describes it as "partial 16S ribosomal RNA". It matches the Rfam family "Bacterial small subunit ribosomal RNA", at positions 338 to 795 of the family's 1533-position model. The record is from RNAcentral.